This 352-nucleotide ribosomal RNA is filed under the name uncultured Synergistaceae bacterium. RNAcentral's name for it is "bacterial SSU rRNA". It matches the Rfam family "Bacterial small subunit ribosomal RNA", at positions 1031 to 1382 of the family's 1533-position model. Lineage: Bacteria; Thermotogati; Synergistota; Synergistia; Synergistales; Synergistaceae. The record is from RNAcentral.
GACACAGGUGCUGCAUGGCUGUCGUCAGCUCGUGUCGUGAGAUGUUGGGUUAAGUCCCGCAACGAGCGCAACCCUGCAUUCAGUUGCCAUCGGGUGAAGCCGGGCACUCUGGAAGGACUGCCAUCGACAAGGAUGGAGGAAGGUGGGGACGACGUCAAGUCAUCAUGGCCCUUACGGCCUGGGCUACACACGUGCUACAAUGGUCGGUACAAAGGGUUGCCAAGCCGCGAGGUGGAGCUAAUCCCAUAAAACCGAUCGUAGUCCGGAUCGCAGUCUGCAACUCGACUGCGUGAAGUCGGAAUCGCUAGUAAUCGUGAAUCAGAAUGUCACGGUGAAUACGUUCCCGGGCCUU